CUAAAAUCAAAGCUUUUCUUAUAUUUGUUAUGGGUUAUUCUCCAAAUUCAGUAUUUAUACAACUCUGAUCAAUGGGCUGGCGAAUUGGGUAAUGCAUACAUGGUGCUUGAUAAAAUGUCAAAUAAUGGGAUACUGCCUGAUUUUCACACUUACAGUAUAUUACAAAAACAUUAUGUGUUGCCUUUACCUAUGGUUUUGGUUUCUUUAUUUGUUGUCUUUUAUAUGUGUUGCGUCAUCUCGUUCCUUUUAGUUGUUUUUCUAGGAUUAGUUUUAAGUUAACUACGGGGAUAGGGCUAUCAGGUGUUAUGGAGACCUAUGCAUCGGCCACAAAGAAAGAAGAAAAGGAAGACAGGUCUGUUGUGCAUAUUUAAGCUCUUGCAGGAGCUCAUUGCAUGAAUACUUCCCAUACGGAUUCUGAUGGCGGGCUUCAGGGGUAUUCAGAUUCUCGCAGCGAACAACAUUUAGAUUCCAACAGCGAACAAUCAGGCUUGUUAUUUAAGUGUUUUUUCGCAGUAUAAGUGAUUGAUUUGACCGAAAAAAAUUGACAAUUUUAAGCCCCUCAAGGUUGUACUGUGCCAAACACUUGUUCGUUUUUCUUUCUUUUUGGUUUUGUUCGAUCUCAAGUUUCAGGUGACACUUACAACCACUUAUUAAACCUGAGCUCUUUUUGCAAACUUAUCAGCUGCAAAAUGUCUCUCCCCUGUAGCUGUGUCUAAACUGUACCCCAAUAGCACGCCUGCAUCUAUUCCAUCUGGUCUAGGAUAUCCAAUGAAUCAGUUUGCACUACUGCCUUUGAAGGCCUGUAUGAUCAGUAGAAAAUAGAUUGCACUACUGCCUUCUGCCAAUGUUUCUGAACUACCCAUUCUAAAGCCCUAAUAACAGCCAGCAACUCAACUAUGAAAUUAGCAACUAUACCAAUCCCUCCACAUUCAGCGUAAACAGAACCACUAGUGUUGUUUUGUUGAGAAUCAGAUUACAACCCCUUUUAAAGCUUGGUUCACAUAGUAGUAAAUCGAUUUGAAUGCAGGGCUUUUAUGAAGACAUUAAACUGAUGCUAAUGUCAUGUAUAUGCAAAGUUCUUCUUCAAAGCAUGUUCUUACGCGUAGAAUUCAUCAUAUUGGCUGUCUAAAACAAAAAUUCAGGAACGAAAUAGAAAAUGCAAUUUUUUUUACCAGAACUUCGCUUAAUUAGGGGCUGUGAGUUAUAAUUUGGGGCAAUGAGAAUUCUACUCACCCUGAUUUUAACUGGUACUGGAGGAAAUCGUAAAAUUACGCACUUGCUUAGUUGUUCAUUUGACGGCUUUUUCAGGAUCAUGUAGUCAGAUCCCUAUCCAUCAACUUGUUUUGUUUUCUAAGUGUACCCUUGUUCUGACAGAUAAGUUGGUUCUUAUGAAAUGUGUGACAAUUUUUUCCUUAUUGGCUUAGACUGGUGGUGGCUUAAGGGAUCCCUUGGAAGAUGAAACUAAAUCUUCUCCUAGAAAGCUUCCUAAAGGGACACACCGGUCAAGUCUUGUCACUCCGGAAGAAAUUGCUCUUAUCAUGCACCGAUCGUCCAUAUCUGUCCAAGAGGUUGCAGGAAUGGUGUUAAACCCAGUUACUGGAAAAUGGGUACUAUCAGACGAUAUAAGUAUAUAUUUCAUUGCCUAUGGUACAAAGAAUAAUCUAUGAAAGGUAGCAUCCAGAGUUAUGCUUUUAUCGUUGUACCUCUACCUUACUAUGGCACUAACUCAACUUCAGUAAUCCUUACCUUCUCAAUUAGCAGUUGUUUUUGGCAUCUUCCGAUUUCUAUCUUGACGAAGAAGGCUAUCAUUUUUGCAACUUCAUACUACAUAUGGUUAUUAAUCUACAUUAGAGUG
Papaver somniferum (opium poppy) is the source of this 1855-nucleotide long non-coding RNA. RefSeq lists it as uncharacterized. The record is from RefSeq and is a predicted model, not a curated record. The transcript is spliced from 4 exons. NCBI's taxonomy places the organism in Eukaryota, Viridiplantae, Streptophyta, Magnoliopsida, Ranunculales, Papaveraceae.